AGAGUUUGAUCAUGGCUCAGGAUUAACGCUGGCGGUAUGCCUAACACAUGCAAGUCGAACGGAAUACUCGAAAAGAGAAUCUCACACUAGUGAGAGGUUCUCCAACCGAGUAUUUAGUGGCGGACGGGUGAGUAACACGUUGGAACCUGCCCCGAAGUGGGGAAUAACUGCUCGAAAGAGUAGCUAAUACCCCAUAGUAUCCGGUUUAUCCGGAUUAAAGAUUUAUCGCUUCGGGAGGGGCCUGCGUCUGAUUAGCUUGUUGGUGGGGUAAAAGCUCACCAAGGCGACGAUCAGUAGCUGGUUCGAGAGGAUGACCAGCCACACUGGGACUGAGAUACGGCCCAGACUCCUACGGGAGGCAGCAGUGAGGAAUCUUCCACAAUGGACGAAAGUCUGAUGGAGCAAUACCGCGUGCAGGACGACGCUUUUCGGAGUGUAAACUGCUUUUGUCGUCGAAGACUAUGACUGUAGACGAAGAAUAAGGACCGGCUAACUACGUG
This 500-nucleotide ribosomal RNA is filed under the name uncultured bacterium. RNAcentral's name for it is "bacterial SSU rRNA". It matches the Rfam family "Bacterial small subunit ribosomal RNA", at positions 8 to 507 of the family's 1533-position model. The record is from RNAcentral.